Molecule: non-coding RNA, 8007 nt
Organism: Osmia lignaria (orchard mason bee)
Lineage: Eukaryota; Metazoa; Arthropoda; Insecta; Hymenoptera; Megachilidae
Source: RefSeq, a predicted model, not a curated record
UUGUGUGCGUUCCCCUACCGAUUCCACCCUCUUGCUCAGUUUCCUCGUUCCUACGCUCGCAUUCAACGCUCGAUCGGGAAAGGGAAGCUUGUGGCAGCAGCUCGCUUGUGGAGGUGGAACGGAGCAAAAGCGAAACGGAGAAAGGCUCCCUACCGAUAGAGAGGGUGUAAGAGGGAAAGACGAAGGAAGCUGCACGAACCGAGGUGUGCGAAGGACGCAGGCGUCCAGGACGCGAGGCGACGCUGCUCGACGACGCUGCAUUGGCAGUUGCACCCCAGCCACACCCGGUACGAGCCAUGUAGUCGGGCUACCCUCCACCGCGAUACACGGCGGACAAUUGUUGCUUCUGCGCCCACAGGUGGUACAUCUUCGUCUUCGAUUUUCGUACUGCUAGACGACGCGCGGUCCGUCUCUCGCACGUCCAGCUCUAACCACCGUAAUCCGCGGACACGAGUCUGGAAAGCUCGCUCGACCACGCGCCUCGUCUGCACGAAACCAGCACUCUACUCCACGUCCAGCCCUCGUGCCGAUACGAUUCCUCCUCGUCGUUCUUCGUUGCGUGCCGCUGCUUCGAAUCGUCGUGGUCGUCGUGGUUACGCUUCGUCGUAUCGUGCGCGUCCGUAUACCCUGCGACCAUUUCGCAAAAAAGCCUUUUUCUUAUCGAAGCUUGUGCGGUGAACGAAGAAAUAACUCUGUGCUGCUGAAUCAAGGGAAGAAGAAGAAGAAGAAGAGUGAAAAAAAGAAGGGAAAAAUCGAGGAAGCAUAAAAGCGUACGUGGCUCGUCGACCCCGAAGCUCGGAUGAUCCGAACAGGCCGCACGAGGGCAGAGUUGUAGCUUCACGCGGUUCUACGCGAUCCUCUUUUCCCGGUGCUUCCCGUCGUGCCCAGGGUGAAAAAAGCACGGACAGAGGGUGAAGAAAAAGCUUGCUUCGUUCGCGAGACGCAGCAAGACGCAGAGGGGAGAGGGGACCACUUACCCAGAGGGAGGUUAUCGACUACACACGUAAGGCGACAGCGCACACGUACGGAUACACAAACAUCGCGGACCUGUUGUCCAACUUGUUGCUCGUCCCUGCAAAAGGCACACCCGCCUGCCUCGCACAACCAGUUUUCGAAAAAUAAGCGACCCGAGCUAGACAGCCAGCUAAAUAUCAACCUAACGUCGAUCGGAUCCGACGAGCCUGGCAGAGCAGCCUGCCACGCUCUACCCUUCAGCUACCUCGCUUUCCCUCGCCGGGCAGCCUGAUAAAUCAAUCCCAAGCUGACCCCAAAAGUCCACCCUUAACUGGAUAAUUAUCUUCUUUGCUUCCACACAGACGAGGGACGAGGAUAAAGCUCAACAAGUGUUUGCUUUGAUUUUCUAUCGCUCAAAAGUUUGCUUCGAGGAAGGGAGGCGGGGUGGUUCGCCAGUGUUCGCCAGGGAUAUCCGUCGUUCUCGAAAUCGGUGAGAUGAGGGUAUCGUCGCGAGUACGGACACGCCCGACCACCACGGUACCGAAGAAGCCGAGUGUUGCCGGCAGAAUGGAACGCUGCUCGGACCAGCCGGGCGAGUAGACGGUUUUAAAAAAAAUUUUUUUUUAAUAAAAAAAAUAUGUUCACGAGAGACACGAGACUAAAACAUUUCACGAACCAAAGAAAAUACGAUACCUGUAUAAUGUACGAGUGAAUUACCGAAGUGGUGGGGGUCUUGACAAAGAAAACUCGUGGCGUCGACUAAAUAUAUUAUACACAGAUGUAGGUGUACGGAUUGUUUAGAUUCCGUAGUUAUAAAGGAUGAACGUAGCGAUCGGUAGAUACGAUCGGUACGAAGGCGUGAGGAAACGGAAAACAGGGCCGAAGUUAGAUGAUUAAGAGGGAUUAAACGGGAUCGAUCGAAGCGAGUACCCGAAGCACCACGUAAUCUUCCAGCCGUGAAUACAACGAAAGCAAUACUACAAACAAGGUAAAGCAACAAAGAAGAAACGAAGAAGAAGAAGAAGAAGAAAAAAAUAAAAGAGAAGCUAAAGGCAAGCGGCACUCUGUUCGCGCCGUACAACUCCGAGUCACCUUUCGACGAGCCAAUAUAUUUACUGGACAUCCUCGUUCAAGAAAGUUUCACCCAAGCCGUUUGGACUCGAUGAGUUUCGACUGACACUCGCUUCGCCGAAAGAUAUUUUAAUAUAAAACGUAUACACCUGUAUCUAUAGAUAUAUAUAGAGAGAGAGACACACAGACGCGCGUGACGCGUGUCUAUAGAAAAGGCAUAUAAGAUAGACGUAUAGAUACGGAGCUGUUUUGUAAGCGAUCGUGCAACGACAUCUAGAAUUAAAAUAACCGCCCCCUCAAUCGCGCCGCGAUAACCUCUGAUCGGAAUCGACGUUUCCGCUAGAGCUGCUCUUCGCCGGACACACCGGACGGAAGUGGCGCAUAACCUGAAUCGAUGCGACAUCAACAGCGUUGAACGAGGAUUGUUCUUCCGAAGAGAUCCACCCGCGAGAGAGGACCAAACGAAAAAUUCAAUCGCGUUUUGGUUAAUCGUCUAAGGGAGACCCGAGGAGGAGGAGGAUGCAGUGAACAAUGAGGAACAACUACUUAGGUUGAAAGAAAUUCGUCAGAGAAUCGAAUCGCAUCUUCGGUUCCUGGUGGCCUCCACGGAGACCACCAGGACGAUAUUUUACAUCGACCAAAGGACCGUCGUCUGUUCUCCAACGUACCACGAAGGAUCCUCUUCGAUCAGUGAAGCAGGGACGAUAAAUAAUUCAGAAAGAGGAAACUUGUGUCGAGACUUGAUGCGCCACUCGGUGUUUCGUAAACCAUCUACCCCGAAGAGCCGUGAAAUCGCGCGGACGUUGAAGCAGUUCGGUUAUCCGCGAGCUUUUCGCUAAAUUUUUUUCAUCGAAAAUAAGAGAAGAGAGAGGAGGGCAAGAUGCCGCGCUGUUACAUGGUGAAGAAGGCCCUGUGCAACAAGUACAUAAGCAGCGUUGCCAGAGGAUUCGAAAGCUGGGGUCGUGGAAGGAGCCCGCCAUCGCCAACCACCAUGCAGAUACCAGUCUCGCCCAUAGAAGGCAGCGUUGCACCCCCUGUUGCUCAAGAGUACCUGAGCGCGCAGUCCCAGGAAACGAGAGCGACGACAGGAAGGAAAACAGCGGAGCAAGAGGUAUCCAGGGAGAGGCUAAACGAGCCGAGCAAUGGGAACGCGACAUCCACGUCGAACGCAUCGAGCAAUGCCAUCAUCGUCGCGACGGAAGCUCCAGCGAUCGUCGCACGGACAGAGACGACGACGACGACGGUGAUUACCUGUACCACAGGUUCCUCCUCAAUAAUUAUCCCAGCAGCAACAGAGUCCAUCGGUUCCAGCGUCGAGAAUACGACAAUGGUGACGUCCGCGUUACCGUUCACCGCACCCAGAUCGCCGUCCAGUACAGUCACGGAACAACAGAUGAGCGUGCUUCAUCAUUUGCCACCGGGAGAGCCGUCUCCUCCUUCGAGUACAGCGACGCCGUAUCAUCUGGAAGAAAGCACCAAUCAUUCGACGUCCGAAUCGAGGAUAGGGUCCGAUUGCAACGUCGUCGUUACCAACUACGCGUCCUCGAUGUUCAAAGAUCGUUCCGCAGCUGAAACGGAAGCCGCUCAUGAUCUGUUAGAAUUGUCGAGGUCUCUGCCACCCUUGCCACCACCCAGCGUCGCCAUCGGACCCCAAAGCGUAAUCGAGACUCCCGCGACCGACAUCCAAGAGAUGACCGUCUACCAACCGGACCAACCGAUCUACCAAGUGAACACCAUCGACUUAGCCAGCUCCACCGUGUACACCCAUCACCAGCAACAGCAACCACCCACCGCGAGCAUCAUCUACGAGCCAAGCGCGACGAUCGUUCAGCAAACGGGCAGCGUGUUCAUACCUCUGUCGCCGGUGCAAGAGAUCCUGCUGACCUACAGCACACCGUCCAUCCCGUGCACGCCGAUCGUUGCCCAGCAACCGCCGCAACCGCCACCGCUGCAGCAACAGCAGCUUCAACAACACCAGCCCAUCGAGACUGCGCCACCGCUCACGCCCCCUACCUCCGAGUGCAGCAGCGACAUAGAGAACAACAAUCCCAAUUCGCAGCCCAGCCAAAAGGACAAGGAGGUGCAGACGGUGACCGAACAGACGGAAGUAAAACCGGCCAGUUAUACCUAUGACACUCUACUGGUGGCCGAUGGAAGGUCGAAGAACAAGAAGAUCGCACCCAGUCAGAAGAACCAGGAGACCGAACCCAUCGAGACACCGGAGACGUCCAAGAUCGGUCGUUACGUCUGUUGCGAGUGUGGUAAACAAUACGCAACAUCCUCGAACCUAUCGCGGCACAAGCAAACCCAUCGCAGCAUCGACUCCCAAUCGGCGAAGAAGUGCAUCCACUGUGGCAAGGCGUACGUGAGCAUGCCCGCCCUGGCGAUGCACGUGUUGACACACAAGUUGACGCACAGUUGCGGCGUCUGCGGCAAGAUGUUCUCCAGGCCUUGGUUACUGCAAGGUCAUCUCAGAAGUCACACCGGGGAGAAACCAUACGGUUGCGCCCACUGCGGCAAGGCGUUCGCCGAUCGGUCCAACCUGCGCGCCCACAUGCAAACCCACUCGGCCGAUAAGAACUACGAAUGUCACAAGUGUCACAAGUCGUUCGCGCUCAAGUCCUACCUGAACAAACACCUGGAAUCGGCCUGCCAGAGGGAGAACGACGAGAGCAGCAACGACGUCGAUACGCCCCAGUAACCGUGUUCCUUUUCGAUGGACGCUUGUCGACGCUGGGGUCUUUAAUGUUCAUCCGUCAGGUUCGCGUGAAAGAAGCGUAAAACCUUCCUGGACGAUGGGUCAAUUCGAUAACUUCAGCGACGACAGUGAAUUCCUUGCUUCAACUUCCUCGAAAACUUUUCGAGAGCAUCGAAGUUCAGAACUACACACGAGGAGAAAGGUCCGUGAAGCGAGGCAAUCGAGCGUUUCUUGUCGUCAUCGUCGAUGCCACAGGUGAUCUUUCGCCUUUCGAACAGAAAUCUUCAUCGUCGUACGGCAUCCAACGCGACCUGGAUAUGGGUAAGCGAACGAUGGUUCAUUAAAUCCACGGUCAAUGUGAGAAAAAGAAAACGGUUCGUUAGAGACGUCUGGGAAUUUCAUCCCCUUGGAUUUUAUAAUCAGAGAAACGAAGAAGAUCCGAAGGGGUUAAAAUUCUAAAGAAAGAGGAGAAAGUGUUUUGAACGUACAUACAGGGAUACUGUUUAAGGCUACGCUUAAAAGGAACGGCGAUUUUCUUGGCAUCGAUCGCGGACACGAUGCGAUUCAAACGGCAUUCCUCUUGUCCCUCCGCAGUCAACGGAAAUCCGUUCACCGUCUGGUAAUCGAUAUUCGAAACUCGAGGGAAACGAAACGAAACGAAACGGCAAUCGUUCGUUCCCAAUGCUUGCUCGCGAUUAAGAAUCGACGAGGCUUUUUCGGUAAACGCGGCUACAGCCGAAUUGAUGCAAUACUAUCGAGGGACCAUCAAUUUGUGAGUAAAAUUCAUUUCGAUACGACGAUCGGGUCGAGAAUCAAAGAGCUUUUUCGAGGAUAGACAUAAACAGCUUCGGAUUCUCAAGCUUUUAUCGUUAACUACUUUAUCCUCUUCGAUACUCGAAACUUUGGACAAACUUGGCCACGAUCAUCCUUUUAUCUUGUCUUCUUCGUUUUGUAAGAAACCUGUGUCUAUUCUCUUUACCUGGAACAGCAAACACUUUGUACUUUAUUCGAUUAAUUGAUUUAAGAUAUUUUAUUUGAUCAUUUACCUGGAUUUUAGGGUAAACAGCGUACCUGAAUUUCGUGAGAUAAACGUAUCAUAAAAUGCUACUUAAAUGUUUCGUUCUAAUAUUCUGUAUGGAAAAUGGCCGAUUCGUGGUGGACGGUUAGGCGAAAACUUUUCUCCCAAAUUAGAAAUUUCCUCGAGACGUCUGGGAAGAGUCGUUUUUCCGAAAGUUCUAUCGACGCCGUCGGCGUACAAUGCAGGUAGAGAGGGGCAGAGGGCACACGUCGAAGGUUUUCAUCAACAUUUCACGUGAACUGGACCACCUGUUGAAUGCAGGAAUGACCAUUCGGUGGCAAAAGGGUCGCUCGUUCUGCUUCCCUGAAUUAUAGAACGUCCUCCUGUAAUUUCCUCAUUGUUAAAUACGCGAACUGAAUCGCGAUUCCGUCGCUUUCAAUCGUCGAAUGUAAACGUUAGACCAUCUUCGUUCCGAUGAUUUCUAGUCCAUAUGCUCUUUCAAUCGCUAUCCUAGUCGUAACACGUUAUUUCCUUCUAGUCUAUUUAAUCUACUCGUUUAAUUAUAUCCAAAGUACUUGAAGACUCCAAAUUGUCCAUGUGAUAUUAAUUUAGUAUUUCCUCGUCGAGUAAGGCACGACUUGAAAAACGGAAGGAACAAGAGGAAUGCCGAGCAAUGAAAUAAAAUAAAAUUAAAUUGUCUGGUCAAUGGAAAACCAAAAAGAAAAAUAAACUGAGGAGGAGGAGAAGAAGAAGAAGAUGAAGAGACUUACCCUCUAGUCAGCGAGCUACGCUUGAAAUGUAUCGUUUUAUCUUAGGUUGCCCUACGAUAAAGGGGCAGGCGUAUAUAGUCAGGGUGGAAAUUUUCAUUUCGUUCGUCCGUGUGUUGCUUUCAUCGUGAAAAACCGCGUUUUUUAUAUCACGUAGAGAUAUUUUGGUACGAGACAUUUUCAGCGAUUAGAGACGAAAUAGGGUUGACGAAUGAAUUGCGUGUAAAUCGGUUUAUUCGCGUAGAGUAAUUCAAAGGGCGCGAACCGGAGAGCUUUAACGGUGUUUAAGUUGUAAAAUGCAUAGAUCAACCCGCGAGUGAUUCAGAAGAAGAUAUAUUAAACAGGCUAUCGUUCUGAAUCACCUGCGCGUUGCUUAAUAAAUAAGUUUUAAAGUCAGAAAUAGACUUGCCUAACGCUUUCUAAUAAGACUUAGAUUAUUAAACCUCGUGGCUGUUGACUUGUACAUAAAUCCCGUUAUUUUUUCACGUUCUUAUUAAAUGAUUUAGCAUUUAAGCGUAAGGUUCCUAGUCAUGGCGAUCGUUACAUUUAUAUUUUUUCGUGAUCGUUUUCAUUCGUACGAGUUAAGCGAGUCUGGUUCUGACUGAGCUCUAAUGAAAUAAAAAAUCAAGAAAAAGGGAACAGCGUUAUCCUGAUAUCGUUCUGUGCGUUCGUUUCUACGGGACAUUAGCAGUAUUUCUUGUCCUGAUUCGUUGAAACAAGAAUCGACCUGGUUAAAGUAGGUCGUACGCAAUUUCGUCGCACCCUUUAACGAAUUAUUAUUAUCCACAGUUAAAAAAAAAAAAACAGUCUCGUCUUCACGCUGUAUUACGAUACUCGACAGUCAAUCGAAUCUCUAAUUAAUUAGAGUUAACCUCGUAACGAUAGUCAAUAAUAAAAACAAAGGAUAAUGAACUGUAACGUUAUCUCAAGGCGAAUCGUUCCGCGUUGCGGCAACGAACCGCAGUGCUGGGAAACUUUUUAAUCAUCGUCGACAUAGAUUUUCAACUUCAUCAAUUAUCACAGAAACGGAUAAUUCUCUCUAGAGCUCUUGCUCCGUCGCUCGAUAGAGGAGAUCGAAAAUUCACCUCCUCUCUUAGUACGUUAAAUUUUACUCUAUUUCGUAUAUACAUAUUUUGUUGGUCGCGUGACAGAGUGAAAUUUCGACGACGAUCGUCGGCUCGCCUCGUAUGGCGAAAGGCUUUCGGUUCGUUGCCGUUGUCGACGAAUGUUUCGCCGUUUCAAAGAUGUUCUCGAAAUGAAUAGCGCAGCUUCGGGGCUUGCCGACGCGAUUUCCUCGACGCUUUUCUCGACAGAGAAAAGACACGAUAACGCGUGGAAUUCAUUGAACGAGCCGGGGGAGAAACGGUAUCGCAAGCCGCAGAACUGAACUCGCGAAUACAAACUAACGUUAGAUCGUCGCCGUAGUGUACUUGAACGCAAAGAGAGAAAAAAAUACAAAAAAAAAAAAAAAAAAUGAAAAAAGAGGUGGUAAUUAUUAA